AUAUUGAAAAAUUGAUGACAUCCUGCGAAAAAAUAAUGAUAUGCUGUAUAGAAAGUUAUAAUUUCAAUGCAGGAUGCCAUAAUAUCAGCACGGGAUGUCAUAAUUUCUUCGAAAGAAAAGGAGUAUUUUCGUCAUUCAAAAUUUCAAAUGAAAAGGUAGAACUAUGGACAUUAAAUGUGCUUUGAAAAGCGAUGGCUACAUGAUCCAAUAGAACGAAGCGGUGCGCUCCACGUC
This 234-nucleotide long non-coding RNA is filed under the name Elaeis guineensis (African oil palm). RNAcentral describes it as "long non-coding RNA (EGUI_LNC002648)". The record is from RNAcentral. Lineage: Eukaryota; Viridiplantae; Streptophyta; Magnoliopsida; Arecales; Arecaceae.